Molecule: ribosomal RNA, 98 nt
Filed under: Jaculus jaculus (lesser Egyptian jerboa)
Lineage: Eukaryota; Metazoa; Chordata; Mammalia; Rodentia; Dipodidae
Source: RNAcentral
UGUUAUGGCCAUAUCACCCUGAACACUCUUGAUCUUUUCUGAUCUCAGAAGCUAAGCAGGGUAGGGCCUGGUUUGUAGAGAGCAGGUAGCAGGAUCCU